RNAcentral lists this long non-coding RNA (580 nucleotides) under Amborella trichopoda. RNAcentral describes it as "long non-coding RNA (ATRI_LNC000646)". The record is from RNAcentral. Lineage: Eukaryota; Viridiplantae; Streptophyta; Magnoliopsida; Amborellales; Amborellaceae.
GCCCCUCCGAGUGAAGUACAAACAUAGUUUGCACGAACAAAAAAUGUGUCUAAAGGAUUUGGAAAUUCCUAGCCUGGGUAUGCUAAAGGAUUCAAUGAAGUAAAGGCGGGUAUUUGUAUCAAUUUUCUUUUCUUUUUUGUGCAUCUCUCGGAGAUUUUAGAUUCAUGCUUGUCUAAAUCAUCCAAAUGAGUGUUCAUUGGAAUUUGGAUAAAUGCUUUUUUGAUACGUUAUGGGUAUUACGUGUCAUCUUCUACAAUUGUGUUCAAUAUCAAGAAGAGUUUUUGUAUGUUUAUUAUUUCACGGAAAUAUGAGUACAUGAUUCCCCAUGUGCUCCAAAAUCUAGCUCUACAGUUUCCUUUUUGAGUCAACCAAUCACGAUUCCUGUCCUGAUUCAAUCAGCUACCAUGGAUCUCAAUCAAUAACAAACUCUUACCUACUGUGCAUGUUCUCCAUUUGUGCUUGCUUACACAUGUGAUUUUUGCUUUUAUCUCAAUAUCAAGAAGAGAACAUUUUUUUUGUAUAUUCAUUAUUUUACAGAAAUACAUUUAAGUGAUGGAAAAUUGUUUCAUGCGGGCUGGAC